RNAcentral lists this non-coding RNA (751 nucleotides) under Omorgus chinensis. RNAcentral also lists the same sequence under 1 other name. Lineage: Eukaryota; Metazoa; Arthropoda; Insecta; Coleoptera; Trogidae. The record is from RNAcentral.
AUAUUUUUUUAUAUAUGUAAGUUUUAGCGUUUAUAAAAAUAAUUUAAAUAGUUAUUAAUAUUACAUUCGCAGUUUUUAAUAUUAAAAAUAAAAGAAAUUUGGAUUUAGAAAUAUAUAAUAAUAUUAACAAAAUUUGUGCCAGCAGUUGCGGUUAUACAAAUAAUGUACUUAAAUUUUAUUUAGUAAAUAAUUAAUUUUUAUAUAAAUAAUUAAGUUUUAAAUUUAUUAGGUGAAAUUUUAAAUUUAAAUGAUAAUUAUACUUUAUAUUAUGAGGUUAUAAAAUUUUAUAAUUAGACUAGGAUUAGAUACCCUAUUAUUAAAAAUGUAAAUUAAAAAUACUUAAGUAGUAUUAGUUAUGUUCUUGAAAUUUUAAGAAUUUGGCGGUAUUUUAGUCUUUUCAGAGGAACCUGUCCUAUAAUUGAUAGUCCACGAUUUAUAUCACUUAUCUUAGAUGUUUGUAUAUCGUCGUAGUUUGAAUAUUUUUAAAGAAUCUUAAAUGUUCAAUAAUUUUAAUUUUAAAAGAAAUCAGAUCAAGGUGCAGCUUAUAGGUAAGAAGAGAUGGGUUACAAUAAUUUUAUUUAUAUGGUUUAGAUAAUUAAAUUUAUUUAAUAAAGUGGAUUUGAAAGUAAUAUAGUUUAAUUUAAUUAUAUGAUUUAAGCUCUAAAAUAUGCACAUAUCGCCCGUCGCUCCCAUAAAUUGUUGGGAUAAGUCGUAACAUAGUAGAUGUACUGGAAAGUGUAUCUGGAAUGGC